RNAcentral lists this ribosomal RNA (430 nucleotides) under uncultured Chromobacterium sp. RNAcentral's name for it is "bacterial SSU rRNA". It matches the Rfam family "Bacterial small subunit ribosomal RNA", at positions 354 to 776 of the family's 1533-position model. The record is from RNAcentral. Lineage: Bacteria; Pseudomonadati; Pseudomonadota; Betaproteobacteria; Neisseriales; Chromobacteriaceae.
GUGGGGAAUUUUGGACAAUGGGCGCAAGCCUGAUCCAGCCAUGCCGCGUGUCUGAAGAAGGCCUUCGGGUUGUAAAGGACUUUUGUUCGGGAGCAAAACCUAGUGGUUAAUACCUGCUGGGGAUGAGAGUACCGGAAGAAUAAGCACCGGCUAACUACGUGCCAGCAGCCGCGGUAAUACGUAGGGUGCAAGCGUUAAUCGGAAUUACUGGGCGUAAAGCGUGCGCAGGCGGUUGUGCAAGUCUGAUGUGAAAGCCCCGGGCUUAACCUGGGAACGGCAUUGGAGACUGCACGACUAGAGUGCGUCAGAGGGGGGUAGAAUUCCGCGUGUAGCAGUGAAAUGCGUAGAGAUGCGGAGGAAUACCGAUGGCGAAGGCAGCCCCCUGGGAUGACACUGACGCUCAUGCACGAAAGCGUGGGGAGCAAACAGG